UGGGGAAUAUUGCACAAUGGGGGAAACCCUGAUGCAGCGACGCCGCGUGAACGAAGAAGGUAUUCGUAUCGUAAAGUUCUGUCCUAUGGGAAGAUAAUGACAGUACCAUAGAAGAAAGCUCCGCCUAAAUACGUGCCAGCAGCCGCGGUAAUACGUAUGGAGCGAGCGUUGUCCGGCAUUAUUGGGCGUAAAGGGUACGCAGGCGGUUUAUUAAGUCGAAUGUUAAAGAUCGGGGCUCAACCCCGCAAAGCAUUGGAAACUGAUAAACUUGAGUAGUGGAGAGGAAGGUGGAAGUCCUAGUGUAGUGGUAAAAUACGUAGAUAUUAGGAGGAAUACCAGUAGCGAAGGCGACUUUCUGGACACAAACUGACGCUGAGGUACGAAAGCGUGGGGAGCAAACAGG
Molecule: ribosomal RNA, 403 nt
Filed under: bacterium
Lineage: Bacteria
Description: partial 16S ribosomal RNA
Rfam family: Bacterial small subunit ribosomal RNA
Source: RNAcentral